Molecule: ribosomal RNA, 598 nt
Filed under: Hohenbuehelia josserandii
Lineage: Eukaryota; Fungi; Basidiomycota; Agaricomycetes; Agaricales; Pleurotaceae
Description: partial large subunit ribosomal RNA
Rfam family: Eukaryotic large subunit ribosomal RNA
Source: RNAcentral
GGAGGAAAAGAAACUAACAAGGAUUCCCCUAGUAACUGCGAGUGAAGCGGGAAAAGCUCAAAUUUGUAAUCUGGCGGUCUUGGGCCGUCCGAAUUGUAAACUAGAGAAGUGUUAUCCGCGCUGGACCGUGUACAAGUCCCCUGGAAUGGGGCGUCAUAGAGGGUGAGAAUCCCGUCUUUGACACGGACUACCAGGGCUUUGUGAUGCGCUCUCAAAGAGUCGAGUUGUUUGGGAAUGCAGCUCAAAAUGGGUGGUAAAUUCCAUCUAAAGCUAAAUAUUGGCGAGAGACCGAUAGCGAACAAGUACCGUGAGGGAAAGAUGAAAAGAACUUUGGAAAGAGAGUUAAACAGUACGUGAAAUUGCUGAAAGGGAAACGCUUGAAGUCAGUCGCGUUGGCUAGGGAUCAGCCUUACUUUUGUGGGGUGUACUUCCUUGUCGACGGGUCAGCAUCAGUUUUGGUUGCUGGAUAAAGGCUGGGGGAAUGUGGCAUCUUCGGAUGUGUUAUAGCCCCUGGUUGGAUACAGUGGCUGGGACUGAGGAACUCAGCACGCGCAAGCUGUGCUUAGGAUGCUGGCAAAAUGGCUUUAAUCGACCCGUC